RNAcentral lists this transfer RNA (72 nucleotides) under Camelus bactrianus (Bactrian camel). It matches the Rfam family "tRNA". From Rfam's summary of the family: Transfer RNA (tRNA) molecules are approximately 80 nucleotides in length. Their secondary structure includes four short double-helical elements and three loops (D, anti-codon, and T loops). Lineage: Eukaryota; Metazoa; Chordata; Mammalia; Artiodactyla; Camelidae. RNAcentral also lists the same sequence under 2 other names. The record is from Rfam by way of RNAcentral.
GGGUUUAUAGCUCAGUGGUAGAGUGAAUGCUUAGCACGCAUGAGGCCCUAGGUUUAAUCCCCAGCACCUCCA